GGACGAACGCUGGCGGCGUGCCUAAUACAUGCAAGUCGAACGGUCUUUCUAUGGAAGCUUGCUUCCACUGAGAAGAUAGUGGCGAACGGGUGAGUAACACGUGGGUAACCUGCCCAUAAGAGGGGGAUAACAUCCGGAAACGGGUGCUAAUACCGCAUAGUUUUCUUGAUUGCAUGAUUGAGAAAGGAAAGACGGCCUUUGUGCUGUCGCUUAUGGAUGGACCCGCGGCGUAUUAGUUAGUUGGUGAGGUAACGGCUCACCAAGACGAUGAUACGUAGCCGACCUGAGAGGGUGAUCGGCCACAUUGGGACUGAGACACGGCCCAAACUCCUACGGGAGGCAGCAGUAGGGAAUCUUCCGCAAUGGACGAAAGUCUGACGGAGCAACGCCGCGUGAGUGAAAGAAGGUUUUCGGAUCGUAAAACUCUGUUGUCAGAGAAGAACAAGUUGGAGAGUAACUGCUCCAGCCUUGACGGUAUCUGACCAGAAAGCCACGGCUAACUACGUGCCAGCCGCCGC
This 518-nucleotide ribosomal RNA is filed under the name uncultured bacterium. Its description in RNAcentral is "bacterial SSU rRNA". It matches the Rfam family "Bacterial small subunit ribosomal RNA", at positions 27 to 518 of the family's 1533-position model. The record is from RNAcentral.